This 255-nucleotide ribosomal RNA is filed under the name uncultured bacterium. RNAcentral describes it as "partial 16S ribosomal RNA". It matches the Rfam family "Bacterial small subunit ribosomal RNA", at positions 524 to 777 of the family's 1533-position model. The record is from RNAcentral.
UACGGAGGGAGCUAGCGUUAUUCGGAAUUACUGGGCGUAAAGCGCACGUAGGCGGCUUUGUAAGUAAGAGGUGAAAGCCUGGAGCUCAACUCCAGAACUGCCUUUUAGACUGCAUCGCUUGAAUCCAGGAGAGGUGAGUGGAAUUCCGAGUGUAGAGGUGAAAUUCGUAGAUAUUCGGAAGAACACUAGUGGCGAAGGCGACUUACUGGACACAUAUUGACGCUGAGGUGCGAAAAGCGUGGGGAGCAAACAGGG